Molecule: long non-coding RNA, 866 nt
Organism: Salarias fasciatus (jewelled blenny)
Lineage: Eukaryota; Metazoa; Chordata; Actinopteri; Blenniiformes; Blenniidae
Exons: 3
Source: RefSeq, a predicted model, not a curated record
UUUGCCACAUUGCUACAUGCCCGACUGGAGACAGUACCCACCAGCACCUACUUUAUAUCGAGACAGAGGGUGUUUACUUCUGCAGCACUGAGACGAGUUGCAGGGAAGUGAAAAUAGGAUGAUUUAUCUGUCACUGUCUGGUGGAGCCGGGGGAUUUUCAUUAAUACCCCCACUCUGAAGCUUUCAUCGAGGGCUGAAACCCUAGAGCUGCGAGCGGUUACCUGAGCUUCAGAGAGAUGGCUCUCCGCAGGCCAGCUGCCCACCUGAGGAGAGCUCCCGGCUGGAGGAGAUCAGGAGACGAGUCCUGCUGGGAGGGCUUGAUCCCAGAGGGGGAGCGCUCACCUGGAGUCCCCCGCCCGACACGAACACCUCGGCCCCAGAGCGCCAUCGAGGGGGGUCAGCUCGACAGCUGGCUGGAGCACCUGCAGACCCUGCAGAGCCAGCUCAGAGCCCCAGAUCACGAUCAAGCGCUGGCUUUUAAUGAGCGGACAACAUCCAUGCCUGUUCUGGACAAGGAGCCGAGCGGACGUGCCUGGAGACAGAAGUGCUUCCCCUCCUUCAGCGCGGCCUCGUCUUCUUGCGGGAGCUCGAGCCUCUGUGAGAGCUCGCUGGGGAGCCAGGAGUCCCUGCAGACCGGGCUUAUUGGCUCUCCGGAGCACAGAGGAAACUGGGAGAGGGCUCAUGUGACGCAGACCCCCAGUAAGGAGCAAACUCAGCUCAGUUAUCUGGCUCCAGUCAAAAUUGGGUGGCUGCCAAUCCAAAGAAGAGUGAUGAUGGUGGAGGAUGCAAACAAGCAAGACCAAUAUAUGGACCAUGUGAAAUUGAAGCAACCCAUCACCCCAACAUUUCAGAAGACUCAAGCAACA